RNAcentral lists this ribosomal RNA (238 nucleotides) under Nostoc sp. UCD122. RNAcentral describes it as "partial 23S ribosomal RNA". It matches the Rfam family "Bacterial large subunit ribosomal RNA", at positions 1875 to 2104 of the family's 2925-position model. The record is from RNAcentral. Lineage: Bacteria; Bacillati; Cyanobacteriota; Cyanophyceae; Nostocales; Nostocaceae.
GGUUAAGAGGACCUGUUAGAUCCCUUUUGUGGGUCGAAGCGGAGAAUUUAAGCCCCAGUAAACGGCGGUGGUAACUAUAACCAUCCUAAGGUAGCGAAAUUCCUUGUCGGGUAAGUUCCGACCUGCACGAAUGGCGUAACGACUUCUCUACUGUCUCAACCACAGACUCGGCGAAAUUGCAUUACGAGUAAAGAUGCUCGUUACGCGCGGCAGGACGGAAAGACCCCGGGACCUUUAC